CAAUAGCGUAUAUUAAAGUUGUUGCAGUUAAAAAGCUCGUAGUUGGAUCUCUGAUCGAGACAUCAGGUCGGGUCCGAGAGGAUCAUGUACUUUGAUUUUGUUUUGAUCAUCCUUGGGGAGAGCAUUUCUGGCAUUCAGUUGUCGGGAUUGGGAUCCUCAUCGUUUACUGUGAAAAAAUUAGAGUGUUCAAAGCAGGCCUCGGCCUCUGAAUACAUUAGCAUGGAAUAAUAAGAUAGGACUUUGGUGGUCUAUUUUGUUGGUUUGCACGCCAAAGUAAUGAUUAAUAGGGAUAGUUGGGGGUAUUCGUAUUCAAUUGUCAGAGGUGAAAUUCUUGGAUUUAUGGAAGACGAACUACUGCGAAAGCAUUUACCAAGGAUGUUUUCAUUAA
RNAcentral lists this ribosomal RNA (388 nucleotides) under uncultured eukaryote. RNAcentral's name for it is "partial 18S ribosomal RNA". It matches the Rfam family "Eukaryotic small subunit ribosomal RNA", at positions 592 to 976 of the family's 1831-position model. The record is from RNAcentral.